GAUUCGUUAAGUUGUUCAAAAUUAAAAACUCGGAGCGUCCAACAAAAGAAAUGUUAACGAUAACCAAUAAGUGAUGUCCAUAAACCACUAAUUUAUCUUAAGUAUAAAACAGAGUUUUUCGUCGCAAAAUAUCAGGACGAGGAAGAAUCAUAAUUCAUUAAAUUUCCCAAAUUGAAUUAAUCAGAUGGAAACAAAAAAAGAAAACUCGAAUGUAACGUGUCAAAAAAUGUCACGUCAGGAAAUAUAAAAUUAAUAUUACCCCUUUUAAUAAAUUAGUAUAUUCUUAAUAAACGACAUGAAAACGAGACUUGAGUACAUUUUGAAGAAUAAUAAACUAAAUACUAUGAAAAACUCCCAACCGAUCUUUUUUUAAGAGUUGUAAAAGCUCGCAACGUCAAAACCCAAGUGGAAUUUUGUCAUCCCUUGUUAUUUCAUAAUUGUUUCUGCCCUCUGAACAGAGGUGCAUACUUGGAUAUUCCAAUUUCCGGAAAUUUGACGAUAUCCAUAUAACGUUUAUUUCCACUUUUUACGAAGUGGACAAAUUUAAGCAAUUAAAUUAUUUAAUUCAAGGUCUGGUGCAUCCAAUUCACUGAACUCCGAUCACACCACAUAACUUACAAGUUUGCACAAAUUAACUUGGCAACUACUUCGUUCAUUAAAUUUAACUUACG
Molecule: long non-coding RNA, 671 nt
Organism: Leptopilina heterotoma
Lineage: Eukaryota; Metazoa; Arthropoda; Insecta; Hymenoptera; Figitidae
Exons: 3
Source: RefSeq, a predicted model, not a curated record